Molecule: ribosomal RNA, 1360 nt
Filed under: metagenome
Description: bacterial LSU rRNA
Rfam family: Bacterial large subunit ribosomal RNA
Source: RNAcentral
CCAAAAUGGUUACAAACCCAGGUGAAGGGAGAUCCGGAAAGGCAAAUCCGCCGGAUCGUCUGCCAGGAAAAUCCUCUAAGGAGAGUUAGGUGACUGUACCACAAACGGACACACGUGGACGAGAUGAGUAUUCUCAGGCGCUCGGGUGAUGAGUUGUUAAGGAACUAGGCAAAUUAACCCCGUAACUUCGGGAGAAGGGGUGCCCAUGCAAAUGGGCCGCAGUGAAUAGCGUCAGGCGACUGUUUAACAAAAACACAGGUCUCUGCUAAGUCGAAAACGAUGUAUAGGGGCUGACGCCUGCCCGGUGCCGGAAGGUUAAAGGGAGUGGUUAGCGCAAGCGAAGCUACGAACUGAAGCCCCGGUGAACGGCGGCCGUAACGAUAACGGUCCUAAGGUAAAAUUCCUUGUCGGGUAAGUUCCGACCUGCACGAAUGGCGUAACGAUCUGACGACUGUCUCAACAACUCGCCCGGCGAAUUUGUGGUUCCGGUGAAGACGCCGGAUGCCCGCCACAAGACGGAAAGACCCCGUGCACCUUUACUAUACCCUAUCAGUGAAUUAUGGGUUGGACUGCGCAGGAUAGGUGGGAGGCUUUGAGAUCGGGUUUUUGGACUCGAUGGAGCCAACGGUGAGAUACCACCCUGUGUAAUCUGUGAUUCUAACCUGCUUCCAUGAUCUGGAAGAGGGACACUGGUAGGCGGGUAGUUUGACUGGGGCGGUCGCCUCCUAAAUUGUAACGGAGGCGCUCGAAGCUGCGUUCAGGUGGUUUGGAAAUCCACCGACGAGUGCAAAGGCAUAAACGCGGUUAACUGCGAGACCUACAAGUCAAGCAGGUGGGAAACCAGGACUUAGUGAUCCGGUGGUUCUGUAUGGAAGGGCCAUCGCUCAACGGAUAAAAGGUACGCCGGGGAUAACAGGCUGAUCGGAGUCAAGAGUUCACAUCGACGCUCCGGUUUGGCACCUCGAUGUCGGUUCAUCGCAUCCCGGGGGUGUAGAAGCUCCCAAGGGUUAGGCUGUUCGCCUAUUAAAGCGGUACGUGAACUGGGUUCAGAACGUCGCGAGACAGUUCGGUCCCUAUCUGUGGUGGGCGCAGGAAAUUUGAGGGGGCUUGGCCUUAGUACGAGAGGACCGGGCUGAACGAACCUCUUGUGAUACAGUUGUCACUCCAGUGGCACAGCUGUGUAGCGAAGUUCGGUUAGGAUAAGCGCUGAAUGCAUAUAAGUGCGAAACCUUCCCCAAGAUGAGAUUUCCCAACCGUAAGGUAAUAAGGGCCGUGGAAGACUACCACGUUGAUAGGACGGGUGUGUAAGAGUAGUAAUACUUUGAGCUAACCGUUACUAAUAGCCCGUUCGGCUUGACCG